RNAcentral lists this ribosomal RNA (380 nucleotides) under uncultured bacterium. RNAcentral describes it as "bacterial SSU rRNA". It matches the Rfam family "Bacterial small subunit ribosomal RNA", at positions 29 to 434 of the family's 1533-position model. The record is from RNAcentral.
AACGAACGCUGGCGGCAUGCCUAACACAUGCAAGUCGAACGAGACCUUCGGGUCUAGUGGCGCACGGGUGCGUAACGCGUGGGAAUCUGCCCUUGGGUUCGGAAUAACAGCGAGAAAUUGCUGCUAAAUACCGGAUGAUGACGUAAGUCCAAAGAUUUAUCGCCCAAGGAUGAGCCCGCGUAGGAUUAGCUAGUUGGUGAGGUAAAGGCUCACCAAGGCGACGAUCCUUAGCUGGUCUGAGAGGAUGAUCAGCCACACUGGGACUGAGACACGGUCCAGACUCCUACGGGAGGCAGCAGUAGGGGAAUAUUGGACAAUGGGCGAAAGCCUGAUCCAGCAAUGCCGCGUGAGUGAUGAAGGCCUUAGGGUUGUAAAGCUAC